Molecule: ribosomal RNA, 311 nt
Filed under: uncultured soil bacterium
Lineage: Bacteria
Description: bacterial SSU rRNA
Rfam family: Bacterial small subunit ribosomal RNA
Source: RNAcentral
AGGACGAACGCUGGCGGCAUGCCUAAUACAUGCAAGUCGAACGAACUCUUCGGAGUUAGUGGCGCACGGGUGCGUAACGCGUGGGGAAUCUGCCCUUGGGUUCGGAAUAACAGUUGGAAACGACUGCUAAUACCGGAUGAUGACGAAAGUCCAAAGAUUUAUCGCCCAGGGAUGAGCCCGCGUAGGAUUAGCUAGUUGGUGAGGUAAAGGCUCACCAAGGCGGCGAUCCUUAGCUGGUCUGAGAGGAUGGAUCAGCCACACUGGGACUGAGACACGGCCCAGACUCCUACGGGAGGCAGCAGUAGGGAAUA